RNAcentral lists this long non-coding RNA (4751 nucleotides) under Homo sapiens (human). Its description in RNAcentral is "HSALNT0048275". The record is from RNAcentral. Lineage: Eukaryota; Metazoa; Chordata; Mammalia; Primates; Hominidae.
UUUCCAACAGUGCUUGUGAAACAGGUGUUUUUUUUUUUUUUUUUAAAUAUCCAUACUCAUUAAAACUGCUAGAAUGAGGAGCUUCAAAGCAGGAAUACAAUAUUGACAGGAAGAUUAAUUUUAAAGUCAGACAGAAUUCUACUCCUGCCACUUACUAAUUAGCUGUGCAAUCCUGGUCAAGCGAACACUUGUGUUUUCUUCUGACAAAUACUGCCUUAAAGGGUUUUUGUGUCCAUUAAAUGGGAUCAAUUAGAUGAGGUAAAUGGCACAAGUUGGUGAUUUAAAAAUUGUCAAAGUUGCUGACACUUGGCAAUUUUUAUCUACAAAAACGUGUUUUCUAUGUUCAAUCUAACAACUAUUAUUUUUUAAUUAUUAUUAUUUUUUGAGACAGAAUCUCACUCUUGUUGCCCAAGUUAGAGUGCACUGGCGCAAUCUCAGCUUACUGCAACCUCCACCUCCCUGGUUCAAGCAAUUCUCCUGCCUCAGCCUCCUAAGUAGCUGGGACAACGGGCACCUGCCAACCAUGCCUCAUUUUUGUAUUUUUAAUAGAGAUAGGGUUUUAACAUGUUGGCCAGGCUGGUCUCGAACUCCUGACCUCAGAAUCACAACUUUCAGAGUAAUAACUCACAUUUUUUCUAAAGCAUAGGAAGCUAAUUUUGUAUAAUGAACAAAUGUGGUUGUGCCAAAAUAGGUUUUGCCACAGUUAAUUUCCACUUUCUCUUCUUAAAAAUAAGGUAUAGUCUAAGCUAAUGUAGAUAAGGAAAGGCACGAUACCAACAAACUGCAAAACAAAGUAUAGCCCCAAGCCAUGCACUUUUUAGAGUCAUGAGUAGGGACAAUGAAAAAAUUAAGGUGCAAAAUAGAUGUGAACUUCCACAAUCUUUCAAUGGACUGUCUUAACAGUUUAAUUUAAAAGCAUAGGCUUUUUCAUAUAUCUUCAGAUAGUCAGAGAGAUUUUUUUUCUUCUUUAAAUGGAAGAAUUUCUUAAAUGGAAGCACAAGAUCAUACCUACACAGCUGGUGAGCCUCAAAAUAGAAUAAUGUCUACUUUAUUAAUAAAGUUUCCAGUCAGGCAGAAUCAAGAGUAAUCUUCAUAUAUGCAUAAGGAUAUUAUCAUUAUAACAAUAUUUUUAGUAGAAAAGUCUAUAAACAAAUGUUCUCCCAAAGGGACAUCCAUAUAAUGGAAUCCUGGAGACAUUAAUGUUAGAGCUGGAAGGUGGCAAUAUGGAAAGACAACCAAGUUAAACAAGAACCAAGUCACAAACUUGAACAUUUAAAAUAAGAACAGGAAGAGGCAUACAGAGAGAGAGCCAUAUAUAAAAUAAACGAUAACAUUUCUUAAAGACUACACAAGAAUACAAGAAAUUAUAUGCCUCUGGGGUAUGAGAAUAAAGUCACAGAGGGAGACACACUUUUUGACUUUAUGCCCUUUGUGUAUACUGCAUAAUUUUUAGAAAUCAUAAGCAUAUAUUAUAGCAUACAAAAAACCUUUAAAGUCUUUAAAAAACCUGAUUGUAACCAAAGCAUUCUAUGAAACAUUGACUAUGUAAGAUUAGUUUACAAUCCCUUGCUGCCUUUAGUUAAUGAUCAUAUAGUCAAAAUUAGAAGGCUCCUUGGCGUUUGCUUCCUCUGUCUCUCCACUCAAGAAUGAGGGAAGAUGCUGAGAAUUUAGAAUUCAAAUUUUACUCUCAUUGCUUAAAUUGUAACUUGGAUAACAUCUCAAGAUUUCAGAGAACCGAUUAAAAAAUUAAUCUAUGGGCAUUUUAAUCACCAUCUAAAAUAUUUUAUCUAGGAUCACUUAUCUUUUUUUAUAAAAGCUCAAAUCACAACAUUCUCUUUUCAUCAGUCCCUACAGCCCUGUGUUGGACAAGCACAGAUGUCAAAAAUACACUUAAAUAUACGUUGAAUUUUUAUCCACUAGAAUAAAAUAAGCAGAAUGAUAUGCAUUCUUGGCGAUAGUCUUCACUGGAAAAUACCACUGUCAGCCCAAACUUACACAACUGACUUCAAAAUCAGACUAAGAUGUGGCAUAAGAAGAGCUAUUUCCUACCUUCACUAUAUAUUCAGGAUUUGCCAACUCCAAGGCCUUGAAAAACAUGUGAAUGUUUGAGACUAAGAAAAAUUGGGAAUGGUAAGCUAGUGGCCACCUUAAGAGUACAUGCCCCAUUUCAAAAAGAUGGAUUCAGAAUGCAACGUUUUAAAACACUGUGCUGGUCACACAAAACAGAACUGCAGACAGAAUUCAGUGUAAGCCUUGAAUGUGCAACCCCUAUAAGAGCACAAUAAUUGGACUUUUUAAAACCAAGGUUCACGAUACUUGGGUCUUUGCAGAUUAAAUACCUCAGUGCCCAGUAUAUCUCUAAAAAUAAACAAGUGUUCAAAUGCUUGCUAAAUGAAUUAACAAUAUAAAAGCUCUCCAAAUACUGGAUAUAAUCAUCAAAUGACCAAUACAUUUAAUUAAUGAGUUGUGGAAUUGUAUGUCCUUUGCUGUGCUGAAGCUGGUUUGCCAAGGCUUGGGAAAGCCACUGGUUGGCUAUCUCUUUCAUCAAACUGCAUUUAAUGACAUCAGAUUGGCAGGUAAAAUCACCAUGAAGACAGUAUUUAUACCAUAAAUAUUAGUAAAUGCUACAAAACAGGGCCUUUUUUCUUUCAUGAAAGAUGGUUGUUAAACAUUCAGCAGCACAACACUGGAUUACAUCGUGGUUAUAUAUUCAUCUGUUCACAAACAACCACGUGAAAAGUUUAAUGUCACUAAGUUUUAAAACAUAAAAAGAAAAACUUAACUAAUGAGGAUGAAUACAACAGGUUAAAUACAAAUUUUAAUAUCACCUUUUAAAAAAUAAAUUUUAAAAGUGUAUAGGCCACAAACUGUAUCAAUAAAGGUGGAAUGCUUUACAAAAUAGGAGUCUGUGAUACUUCAGAUGAGUCUUCAAUCUAAAGCACGCUCCACUAGUUACCAUAUUAAUUUACUUCUAAAGUUAAAAAAAAAAACCAAGAAUAAACUGUACUGAUUUCAUCAAAUUAUGAAAGGAAUUCAAGUGAUUAAAGUUUUUUUAGAUAUACAAGACAAGAACGUUAACUUGUUCAGAAUUUCAAAAUAUUAAGAAAGAAUGCAUUCAUAUAUAAAUGUGAUAGCAUUUAAUCCAAAUCUGUUCCCCAGAGCAAAAAGCUGCCACUAGCUUAACCUCUCUAUGCUUUGCUUCUUUCAUCCUAAAAGUAUAGGUCCACUGCAGGGAUUGUAAGAGAUGAAAUAUGAAAAUUGUUUUACAAAUGACUAUCUCAUACACAGCCCAUAAUACCACUGCUAUUAUUACCUUGAAGUAGUGUUAAAAAGUCUGCAAUUUCAGUUCUCACUAGCAAACAAAAAAAACCCAGGGAAUAGUUAUGUUUGCCCUGCAAGUAAAUACUGUUCUAGAAAUACACAAAUUUAAAGUAUAGUGGUUCUCAAAGAGUCUGGAGACCCUUAAUGGUCCCUACAACCCUUUCUUUGAAAGGCUGUGAAAAGUCAAACUAUUUUCAUUGUACUACUGAGAUAUUACAUAGUUUUCAUUCUCCUGAUCUCACAAGUGCACAGUGGAGUUUUCCAGCGUGUGUAUGCUGUGUAAUUUUUAAGUUGGAAUGCAAAAGCAGCAUGAAAAUCUCACUGCUUUUAUUAAGCCAGAUUUAAAUGCAUAAAAUGUAAAACAAUGUUCCUGUUCUCAUUAGUUUUUGUUUUGGAAAAGUUAUUUUUAUCAAAAAUGGUAUUUAUGUUAGCAAGUUAUUAGUUUAUUACUGUUAUACUUAAAUAAAUAAACAUGUUUUAAAAAUAUCUCAGUAUUAAUUUUAAUACAAUAAAUUCUCAGAGAUACAAGCUACAUCAACAAAGCUGUUGGGGAGUGUUAAGGUUCUGAAACUAAAAUGCUCCAGAGAUGUUGGUACAGUGGUAAACCAGCAGCCAGGUCACCCUCUCCAUGUUGCCAAUUGACAGGAACUGUACUAAAGUGGGUGUGUGUGCAGGGGGGCGGGGAAUUUCACAGGUAAAGCACUAAUGUGCUUUUACAAAUUAACAGAAGGACUUAUUUUGAGGAAGAAAGUGAUUACCAAAACUCUAUUUUCACAAAAAUAAUAAAAUAUUCUCUAUUUCAAAAAAUGGGGAAAAAAUGUCUUUAAACUAUGUCAAAAGUUUGCCAUCCUGAAAAAAGAUCUUUCCUGAACAGGGAUAUCUGCAGAUACCUGAACAGGAAAAAUGAUGUGACUAAACCAGUAAGCCAGGAAAUUUGAAGGUCUUCAGCCUUGUUACCUUCCAGGAUUUUUUCUCCUUUUUAGUACUCAACAUAAUUUUGAUGGUCUAUAUAAAACUAGAAUAAAUCUAAAUGUAAAAGUCUAACGAAAGCUGAUUUUCUUUAAUAAUAAACAGUGAAUAUCAUGAGAAAAACCACUUUAAAGCUACCUCUCUUCUUUUUUUCAUUUUUUAGAGAUGGGAUCUCACUCUAUCCCCAGGCUGGUGUGCAGUGGUGUGAUCGUAGCGCACUGCAGCCUCCAACUCCUGGGCUCAAGUGAUGUUCCCACCUCACCUCCAGGUAGCUAGGACUCACAGGCUCUCACACCACCAUACCCAGCUUGGGUCUCUUCUUGAACUAAACAUUUUUAUUUUAUAAGCGCUAAUUUAAAGUCAGUAAGAGCCCCCAUUUAAUUACAAACUUCAAUAGUUACCCAGAAAAAGAAAUAGUCUUUAAAAUCAUUUUGAUAACAACUGUUUAAUUUACUAUUCAG